This 481-nucleotide ribosomal RNA is filed under the name uncultured bacterium. Its description in RNAcentral is "partial 16S ribosomal RNA". It matches the Rfam family "Bacterial small subunit ribosomal RNA", at positions 28 to 507 of the family's 1533-position model. The record is from RNAcentral.
GAUGAACGCUGGCGGCGUGCUUAACACAUGCAAGUCGAACGAAGCAUUUGCGACAGGUUUUUUCGGAAUGAAGUUGCUUAUGACUGAGUGGCGGACGGGUGAGUAACGCGUGGGUAACCUGCCUUGUACUGGGGGAUAGCAGCUGGAAACGGCUGGUAAUACCGCAUAAGCGCACAAUGUUGCAUGACAUGGUGUGAAAAACUCCGGUGGUAUAAGAUGGACCCGCGUCUGAUUAGCUAGUUGGUGAGAUAACAGCCCACCAAGGCGACGAUCAGUAGCCGAACAGAGAGGGUGACCGGCGACAUUGGGACUGAGACACGGCCCAGACUCCUACGGGAGGCAGCAGUGGGGAAUAUUGCACAAUGGAGGAAACUCUGAUGCAGCGACGCCGCGUGAGUGAAGAAGUAAGUCGUUAUGUAAAGCUCUAUCAGCAGGGAAGAUAGUGACGGUACCUGACGAAGAAGCUCCGGCUAAAUACGUG